Molecule: long non-coding RNA, 1780 nt
Filed under: Theobroma cacao (cacao)
Lineage: Eukaryota; Viridiplantae; Streptophyta; Magnoliopsida; Malvales; Malvaceae
Description: long non-coding RNA (TCAC_LNC001726)
Source: RNAcentral
AUGACUAAAAGUAAUGAAGGUUGUGAACCUACAGUUUUUGAGGAUGCAAGUCCAACUGUAGCCCUCAACGAAAUGAGCUAUCUACCGACUAUCCUGAGCCUGAAAUGGGUGGAAAGAAGGGUCGUGAGAUUAUAUAAUCCCAGUGAGUAAACAAAUACCAUCUAAAAUAUUUAAAGCUGAGUAAAUGGAGACAGAUAAAAUAGAUUAGCAUAAAAAUGAUUCACAGCAUUUCGAACUCAUUUUAAUAGGAUAAAAUAGAUUCAUUUCACCCAAAUAAACAACGAGGCUUAUGAUUUCCUGAAAAGCUUGGCUCGUGCCAAAAUCAUUGUCAUACUCAGUUAUCAAGGAUACCUUGACCUAAGGCUAUCCCAACCGAGUUCGCCAAGGUUAUUAAAAAGUCAUGUUCGCAUAAAUCAUGUUUUUAUUUUGAAAACAUAGCCAUUCCUUGGCGUUGGCUGAGUUCACCCUCACGUGGAGGUUUGGCGUGAAGUGAACUCUAAAGUUUUACCUCGAGAGUUACCCUACGCGCCUCCCCAACCAAGGUAUGAACAUAACGGGAUUUCGGGCCCCUCAAAAAGGCUGGUCCACAGAACCAGCCCACUGCAGCAAGCUAAACCCACCAUACCAUAAAAAUUCAACAACAUGACAUGACAAUUUUAUCAUUAUCCAGCCUAUCAAGGGAAACAACAGUUUAUACAUUUUCAGCACAUUUACCAAUUCAACCAUUCAUGCCAAUCUUAUCAUAAGCCAUUCAAUUCAAACAUAAUUUAUAACACAGCAAGUAGUUUCCAAUUACUCCAUUUUCAAAACCAUUAUUCAAUUUCAAGACAAUUUUAUAAAAUCAUUUCAUUUAAUCGCAUUUUGCAUAAAAUUACAAAAUAGCAUAAAAACAUACUUUAGAUAAUUAAGACGAUAAUAAGGUUAUUCACUGUAAUGGAAAUUGAGUUCUGAGUACUCCGAUUCUUGAUCCUCGGGUACUAUCUCUUUACUUUUGCCAGAAAGUUCACCACCUAGACAUAAUGCACAAUCAAGCAAUUCACCACAUGGGUACUAAACCGUUAUAAAACUAUAUGGAUGCAUGAAAUGGAAUGCAAAUUGUUCAGAUUAUCGUCUAAACACGGUGUUCUACACAAAUUCAAUUGUGUACCUAAAUAAAACGGUAUUGGCCUAAUUCGAUCUAUCACUCGAUUAAUUGGCCAAUAUGUCCAAUUCAACUCCAAUUAACUCCAUUUUUCUUCCAAUUCUCCAAACCUUCAAACACAAGUCAAAUAGCAUAAAAUUUAGCAAAAUAAUCUUCACAUUUUCUCUUGGGAAUUUCGGCCAUGGUGGAUGCAUUAAUACUAUAAUUUUUCCUACUUGAUUUUCUCACCGUAAUUCAUCAUUUCCUAACCAAUUCACUUGAAAUAAAAUCAAAAUCAUCAUCAAUAUUCUACAUGGAGAAUUCGGCCAAUGAGGGUUAUGGAAGAACAUGAAUUUUUCUUGGUUGCUUUUCAUGCUACACAUCACCAAUCAACUAAAAACACUAGAAUAUCCUAAAAUCUAACCAAAACAACCAUCAAAAUCUCUCUCUAAGUGUUCGACCAGCAAGAGACCCAUCAUGAAAUCAUGUGAUUCAACCAUGGAAAAUGCAAAAGAAUGUAUGGGAACGGUAGAUCACAAGUCAAAAUCAAGAAAUUUUACCUUUGAUUGCUUGAUUACUUGAAAUCCACUAAUUUUCUCUUGAAUUUUCACUCUAGGGUUUUUGUUCUUUCUUUUCUUCCUUUGUUCUUGCUUUGGCCAG